CACCUGCUACCACUGCUGCUCCUCCUCCAUGGCCCCUCCUGAAGCUCUCCCCUGCAGUCCUCAGAGAGAGCAGCACAUUUCAGAUGACCUGUGAAGUACCUCAGUCUCAGUCUGCGUCUCUGUGUCUCUUCUACCUGGAUGGGAUAGAAGCUGCUCCAUACAGUCACCCAUCAUGUCAAAUGUCCCUCUCUGGUGUUCAGAUCCAGCAGUGGACACGUCAGAGUUCCCCUCUAGAGGCUAAAGUGGGGUGUUAUUACCUCACAGAAGGAGCAAGAACUCCAUCAGAUUAUGUUGCAUUGACUGUUCUGGACAGACUGCAGAAGCCAAACAUAAAGGUCCUUCAUGAUGGUGUCAUCUCCAUUGUCUGUGACAUACCCAAGCAUUUUGGUGAGGCCACUGACUGCCAACUUUACACUGGAGAUGAACCCCAGUCUUAUCUAAAAACAAAGAUAUCAAAAGAGUGCAUCUGGACACCUGUCCUGCCAGUUUACUGUGAACAAAGAUGAUUUAUUCAGACGUCUGCAGUCAGUGAGAAGCAGAGGGGUGAGCUGUGAUUAUACAGUGAACACAGAACCUCCAUUACUCUCUCCACGCAGUGACCCUUACAACUUUACAGCAGGUUUACGUCUUAUCACCAGAAAAGCAUAUCUGCCAUCAUCACAGCCAGAUGAACCUGAAAUGACCACAAGCUAUUCACAGCGGUCAGUGACAUUUGGGACUUUCUGUCUGGCACAUCCUGAAGCGUCCACAUCUAAACAGACGGAUGAGAAACAACUCUAGAACUGCUUUAACAGAGUGGGAAUCAUCUGCAAAAGUUAUAUCACAAGCGAGUAACUUCAUGUAAUGAGCUACUGUAUGGUGUCAACCUUAUUUAAAGAUGCUGUGUUGAGUUAUUUAGUUUAAAGCAUCCAAAAUUACCUAGAAAUAGCAUCACAAUAUGAUUGUGACGUCUGGUCAAAAGGGCCUCGGAAACAGAGGGCGUACAGUAAGUGACUCAGGAGGGCCUAAACAUUGUGUUCAGUGUUAAGUCCUUUGUUUUUUUUUACUAAUAAUGCUAAAAUUAACAAGAAUUAUUUAAUUAGAAAUAAAAUCAUCUUCUCCUUUUGAAAGUAGAAAUAGUUGCUCAAGAGCUUUUAUUUGAUGUAUACACCUCAAUUUUGCCCAAAAUGAGACUUAUGUCCCUCUGGUUCUCACACCUCCUCAUGCUCUGUGUUGUGUAGAUAUCCCCUGUAUGCAUUCAAACCUUUUGUAAUACCAUGUUGUACCACAUGUGGCCGCUGUAGUCAAUACAAUCCAAGUCAAAAUGGAAGAGUGUUGUGUGGGUGGGUUAAAGACAAUUUGUAGCCUACAAAAUUCCAUACAGCUCCCUUAGUCAGUCGGUUAUGUUGAUGGAGGUGAUAAGGCUGCCAUAUCUGUAUGAGAAUAAUAACAUAUAUUUACAGUUUGGUCAUUGUUGACUGUUGACAGACUGAUAAUGAUUAACCCCUGCAAUGUCCACAUGUUCCAGCUGAUUCUGCAGAGUGGUGUCUUAUGCACAACAGACAGACUGUUUUACAUAUUGUUUUAUCUACUUUAGAAAAUGCCAUUAGUAAAAAAAAGUUUAUAUUGUGUUGAUAUGUUCGUGGAAAUGGUUUCUUUUC
This is a long non-coding RNA of Alosa sapidissima (American shad), 1640 nucleotides long. RefSeq lists it as uncharacterized. The transcript has 5 exons. The record is from RefSeq and is a predicted model, not a curated record. NCBI's taxonomy places the organism in Eukaryota, Metazoa, Chordata, Actinopteri, Clupeiformes, Clupeidae.